UGCAACUAAAACUGGACAACAAAGAACCGUGCCAUAAAAAUCCAAGGGACAGACACACAAUAAUCAGAGUUCUAUAUGAAGCUGUGGCACAGUAUACUAUGUAUCCCACAAAUUCUGAAUAUGUGUAAGCUGUGAAGACGCUGGUAAUGAAGUAUCCUUUCCUCAAGGAUUGUGAGGGAAAUGGUUAUCACACAUGGCAUAUGUCUUUGAGACGUAAAUUCAAAUCAGAGCGGGCACCACUAGUCGACAGUGAGGCAGUGAGGCAUUGUAAGGAGAAGUUUGGUUCUACGAGGAGAGGGCAGCCUAAUAAAUGUCAACGAACAAGUCAGAGAAAUGUUUGUCAGGGACCAUGCGUCCAAGGAGAGGAUUUAUUAUCCAUAGACGCCCACUUAAAGGUCUUACAGUGCCAAUAUCAGAAGAUGCAACCAGAUACCAUGGUGGUUCAUAACCGUAUGCAGCAAACGUUUGCUUGGCGGCAAAAAGAAAUUGCAGAUGGUAUGCUUGUGGAGG
Oreochromis aureus is the source of this 510-nucleotide long non-coding RNA. RefSeq lists it as uncharacterized. The transcript has 4 exons. Lineage: Eukaryota; Metazoa; Chordata; Actinopteri; Cichliformes; Cichlidae. The record is from RefSeq and is a predicted model, not a curated record.